AAGAAAGUAUACAAGAACUGCUAAUUCAUGUACCCAUGCUUAAAACACAUGGCUUUCUUA
RNAcentral lists this transfer RNA (60 nucleotides) under Leggadina lakedownensis (Lakeland Downs mouse). Its description in RNAcentral is "tRNA-Ser". The record is from RNAcentral. Lineage: Eukaryota; Metazoa; Chordata; Mammalia; Rodentia; Muridae.